AACCACAUGCAAGAAUUAAUACCUCAAAAAAAUUCGAUUUGAAUACAUGAAUUAGGAACAUGGUAAGCCCCAAUGCUACACAUUAUAUAUCAAUUGGGCAAUUGAUUAGAAAUGAAUAAUUAAAACUUUAGUUACACACGCACAGACAAGAAAACAUUACAUGCCCUUUUUAAUAGUAUUAGGGCAAAUUCUGAUACACGACCAUCGCAAGGACUUAUUUGGUAUUUAUACAAUUCUAUUGAUUUUUGAUUGUAAAAUAAAACACACAAUUAGUCCUAUGAUAUGGUAUCAGUCUUGUUGGGAUCUGAUGAACGAGGGAGAGGAGGGUGAGGAGGGAGAGAAGAGGACACAGAUUGGACAAUGGAAUCAAACAUCAUCUUUUUCACUGACCUCCUCUUUGCUGGAAACACAGAUGCAAUCUUUGGCUUCUUCUUCAUUGCCUUCUCUGGCUCUGGGUUGACUGAUGCCAUUUUCCUCACUUGGGUUGCUCAGUUUUACCACCAAUUUGCUCUCUGCUUUGUAUUUGUGCUGCAGUGUUUAUGUGUUUGAUAAUGAGGCUUUAGGCUCUUUAUAUAAGUAAAAAAAAGGGGUUGCAACUUGCAGGUAAAAUUUGUGGGGCAGCUCAGUUUUGAAGCAUCAAAUUUGAUUGACCAAUCCAUAUAUACAUCUAUAUCAACUUAUGAAUGAGCAGUAUGAAACUAUGCUUGCCUUUAUUCCCUGUCGGUAAAAACUUUUUAAACCUAUGCUUGCCUUUAUUCCCUAUCAGUAAAAAGUUUUUAAGGACCUGUUUUUAGAAAAUAGACAGAGAAGGUAAAAAAAGGAGGGGUUUUGAGAGGGCCAAAUGAUGGUGAUUAUUGGUAUCAGUCUUCAUGGGAUAUGCAACCACAAUCAUUGGGCUAGUCAUAGAGACGUGACGAAGAAGUACUUGUGGAGACUCUAGCUUGGUUUAAAGUUAAAAGAGGAUGCCAUUUCCUCUGAACGGUGUAGGAACAAAGAUUCUAGGUCGGUGGCUCUGUUGUGUUGUGAGCAAAACCCAAGUUCUUCAUCUGAUCAAAACCCACCCAAGGUCAUGAAGGUUGGGUUUAUGGAAUGGAAAAGGAGAAAUAUUAGAGUAAAACAACUGUCUCUUGUGUGCAGAAUAAGUUCUAAUUUUUGGAGCUUACUUUUUUGCCUACAGUAACAGCAUCCCCUAAAGGAAGCUGCAAAAUAAUUUUGUUGCGCCACCUACCACUUCACUACUUUAUUUAGGGAGUAUCUGAUGGGUUAAAGUUCGGCCCGGCCAGAUAGUUAGGCUUAUUUAGUUUGGCAUGUUCUAAGGUUGGGUAGGGCUCAGAGUCAGAUUUGAAACCUCUGGCCCGCCCAUUUGCCUUGUUUUGUUUUUUAUUUUACUUUAUAUAGUCAUAUUUUUAUUCUAAACAUUUAAGUAAGAGCACUGUCAUUUUCAUCCGUGUUCUAUUUUUUCACUCACAUUAUCUUUCCACCUACCAUAUCAAUUUGGAAAAAACAUAAUCUUAUUUUUUCCACCCACCAUUAUUCCUAAAAUACCUUUUAAUAAUGAAUUCAAGCAAAUCCUCUUUAAUAAUCAUUAUUAUUCCUAUAAAUAAAAAAUAAGAGAGAGAGAGAGAGAGAGAGAGAGAGAGAGAGAGAGAGAGAGAGAGAGAGAACUGAGUGGUUGAAGCUUGAAGCUUGAAAACAAAUUAAGAUACAUGUGACUUGAAAGAGAAUUGCAUACAAAGUUGUAUGUUAGAGGCCUCUUAUAUUGGGCAACAUGAAAAUCAAUAUUAAAUAGGAAUAGGAAAAUCAACAUUAAUAUUAUCUUAUUAAUAUAGGAGAAGCCACAUCAAUCCAUACCAAUAUAAUAAACUCACAUUAAUAAAAUAAUAUUUAUUAUGGGGCUCAACUUUCCUUAUUUUGUAAUGAAAAACAAAUGAAAAGUGAAUAUUAAUGUUAUUAAAUUAAUAUCAAUACUAAGCUCCAACAACAUAUUAAUGUAAAUUAAUAUUUAAUGUGGGGCCUGGUCGCUCACUUUGCUCAUGCCAAGUGCCGCCCCUAAUCAUCCAAGUAUCAUACAAUUCAAUGCUAAUGACUCUUCUCCAUCUAGUUCCACAAAAGUUAAAACCGCUAGAGGUUAUAUUUUGUAGAUUUAACCUCUAGUAAUUCUUGAGUAUCCUUGUAAAUUCUAAAGCGUGUUUUGGGGUUGCGCAAGAUAUUGACAAACACAUAGCUAUAGGCUAGGCUUCAUUUUAUCCACAUGACUUAUUUGCAUAUCCCCUUUACACACAAGCAGUGUGGCCAAAUAAAGUAUGAAAGAUAGCGUAAAUCUUAAGUGCCUUGAAGCAAUCUUUCAUCCUCUCAUUAUCAUUCCUCAUAAACACUUCCAUUGAACCAUAACCCACAGACCUUGUAUCAACAGAAUAUCCAACUUUUAUUAGAAUAGAAAAGGAAAUUUGUACAAAGUCAAAGCAUCGAUCCGCAUAGUGAAUUAGCAAUCUAGUAAAAGAUUUGCAGAGGAUUUGUGUGACCGUACAUAAAACAAUGAAAACAAACAUUUGCAGAGUAUUUAUGUGAUCUUAAAACAAUGAAAGCAAAGAUUUUCCGUGUUCUUCAUCUUUGGGGUCCGGUUGACAUGGACUUUGAACUAUCCAGAAGAUCUUUGGGGUACACAUCAUCCUCGAACAAAUUGAUUGGAUACUCGUUUUGAACUGCAGAGCCUUGUCUUGUAUAUGCCAGAUUUUAUGUAGACCUCAAUAGAACAUACUCAAUCUUCUCUUUCCGUUGAUUUUACCAUGUUCACAAAAUCAACUAAUGAGUUAUAAUUAAAAAUGGGUUAAAGUUCAAUCUCUUCCAAAUGUAUAAGACUGAGGUGAGGUAGCUUCUAAUGCGACAUGGCAUAAAUUUUGUAACUUUUCCAACCAAAUUGAGAUUCUUUUGGUUUGGCUCAAAGAGAAUUCGGUUGUGAAAUUGAAGCUUGUUCAGUUUACUGGAACAAGUUUGCUAUCAAAAGAAAUUUUUUUUCCAACCAAAUAAAUGGGUUCCAAUCGGUUUAGCCCUUCAAUUCUAAUGGAACAAAAUUUCGGUUGGUUUCUAAAUGUAUGGAUGUCCACUUGAGACGCUCACUAUGUAAUUCAACUAGUAAAAUUUAUAUAAUGUUAUGAAUAAAUGUAUUGCUAAAAGCAGUAUAUAGAGUGUCCAAAUAUACUUUUCACACAGCACAUGCAUACAAAAAUUAACCGUGCAAUAAGAGUUUGACAUAAUAAACAUACUUUUCAUAGUAGCAGAUAUUCAUAACCUCUCAAACGUAAGCUUCUUAGUAGAUUAUUCAAAUAGUUAAAAUUGACAACCUUAUUUGUCAGUGCAUAUGCAUGACGGCUCUGCCAAUUAAUUUUGUUUUGUCAAAUAAUUAAUCACUUAAAUUAAGACAAGUGCAGACAAUUUGAAACCAGUAAACAUGUCCACUAAGACAUGACCUAUUAUACUGCAAGAAUUUCAAAAUGACACGAUAAUUAUUUUGAGACAUGACCAUAUCUAUAUGGAUUAAUUGAGUCUAGCUAGGUGACAACAACAACAAGAACAAUAGCUGAGCCUGAGAUUGAGAACAAAGACGUUAUUAAUUUUGGGAUGGGUCGGGAAAUAUGAUAUUGGUGUUCUUGGUUGUAGCCUCGCUGGACUUGGAGUUGGAGAGAGAGUGGAAAAAAGAGGCCACAGAUUGGAAUAUGGAAUUAAACAUCAUUCGCUUCACUGACCUCCUCUUUGCUGGAAUCACACUUGCAAAAUUUGAAGUCUUUGGUUUAGAGCAUGUUGUUUUGUUGCCUGCUGCAACCACUUCCUUACCUGGGUUCUUCAUUUCCUCAGAUGGGUUCAGCUUUUCCACCAAUUUGGUUAUCUUCUAAAAUUCUGC
This 3898-nucleotide long non-coding RNA is filed under the name Prunus persica (peach). Its description in RNAcentral is "long non-coding RNA (PPER_LNC001514)". Lineage: Eukaryota; Viridiplantae; Streptophyta; Magnoliopsida; Rosales; Rosaceae. The record is from RNAcentral.